This 293-nucleotide long non-coding RNA is filed under the name Brassica napus (rape). RNAcentral describes it as "long non-coding RNA (BNAP_LNC003206)". The record is from RNAcentral. Lineage: Eukaryota; Viridiplantae; Streptophyta; Magnoliopsida; Brassicales; Brassicaceae.
UUGAGAGCAGAGACUUUAGACUUUUUCUUGGAGGAUGAAGGAUCUGUGAUGGUAGCCGCCUGACGCUUGCUACUACCAACAAGUUGGACCUCUUCAUCUUCAAAAGGAGCAGUUUGCUUGGCUGCAGCCUUCCUCGCGGACAUCGCCUCAAGAGCUUUCUUAUAUUCCGCCAAGGCCUCAUCACCUCUAGAACCUGACAUCACGCCUGAAAGAUAGAACCAACCUGGCUUGAAUUCGUAGAAGGAAAGCAGGAAAAGCUAAGAUAGAAAAGCUUACCUCUAAUGCUACACCGA